RNAcentral lists this unclassified non-coding RNA (293 nucleotides) under Basidiomycota sp. Its description in RNAcentral is "partial contains 5.8S ribosomal RNA, internal transcribed spacer 2, and large subunit ribosomal RNA". The stretch from base 1 to 71 matches the Rfam family "5.8S ribosomal RNA", at positions 84 to 154 of the family's 154-position model. The record is from RNAcentral. Lineage: Eukaryota; Fungi; Basidiomycota.
GUGAGUCAUCGAAUCUUUGAACGCACCUUGCGCCUUUUGGUAUUCCGAGAGGCAUGCCUGUUUGAGUGUCAUGUAGACUCAACUCUCAAGAGGUUUCUUGCGAGUUGGAUUUGGGUGUUGCCAUCUGGCUCACCUUAAAAGUAUUAGUGGUUUAAGCGCUUGAUCGGACGUGAUAAGUUUCGUCCGGCCAUGUGUCAUCGACCGCUCCUAAAUUGCCUUGCGGCGAUCUUUGACUCUGACCUCAAAUCAGGUAGGACUACCCGCUGAACUUAAGCAUAUCAAUAAGCGGAGGA